GUGAUGAAGACGGGAUUUUUAGAACGGUGACAGGCAGAACCCAGCUGA
RNAcentral lists this small nucleolar RNA (48 nucleotides) under Pyrobaculum oguniense TE7. RNAcentral's name for it is "POGsR102". Lineage: Archaea; Thermoproteati; Thermoproteota; Thermoprotei; Thermoproteales; Thermoproteaceae. The record is from RNAcentral.